AGAGUUUGAUCAUGGCUCAGGAUGAACGCUAGCGGCAGGCUUAACACAUGCAAGUCGAGGGGCAGCGCGUUUGUAGCAAUACAGAUGGCGGCGACCGGCGCAAGGGUGCGUAACGCGUGAGCAACAUACCCGUCACAGGGGGAUAAGCGAUGGAAACGUCGUCUAAUACCGCAUAAAACUUAGGGCGGCAUCGUCUGGAGUUGAAACUUUAUAAGGGUGACGGAUUGGCUCGCGAGACAUUAGCUAGUCGGCGGGGUAACGGCCCACCGAGGCUACGAUGUCUAGGGGUUCUGAGAGGAAGGUCCCCCACACUGGAACUGAGACACGGUCCAGACUCCUACGGGAGGCAGCAGUGAGGAAUAUUGGACAAUGGCCGGAAGGCUGAUCCAGCCAUGCCGCGUGCAGGAAGACGGUCCUAUGGAUUGUAAACUGCUUUUGUACGGGAGCAAUAAGGGUCACGAGUGGCCCGAUGAGAGUACCGUACGAAUAAGCAUCGGCUAACUCCGUGCCAGCAGCCGCGGUAAUACGGAGGAUGCGAGCGUUAUCCGGAUUCAUUGGGUUUAAAGGGUGCGUAGGCGGCCAGACAAGUCAGCGGUGAAAUGCAAGGGCUUAACCCUUGACGUGCCGUUGAAACUGCCGGGCUAGAAUGCGGAUGCUGUGGGAGGAAUGUGUAGUGUAGCGGUGAAAUGCAUAGAUAUUACACAGAACACCGAUUGCGAAGGCAUCUCACAAAUCCGCUAUCGACGCUGAGGCACGAAAGUGCGGGGAUCAAACAGGAUUAGAUACCCUGGUAGUCCGCACAGUAAACGAUGAUAACUCGCUGUCGGCGAUAGACAGUCGGUGGCCAAGCGAAAGCGAUAAGUUAUCCACCUGGGGAGUACGACCGCAAGGUUGAAACUCAAAGGAAUUGACGGGGGCCCGCACAAGCGGAGGAACAUGUGGUUUAAUUCGAUGAUACGCGAGGAACCUUACCCGGGCUCGAACGGUACAGGAAGAGAUCCAGAGAUGGUGACGCCCUUCGGGGCCUGUAUCGAGGUGCUGCAUGGUUGUCGUCAGCUCGUGCCGUGAGGUGUCGGCUUAAGUGCCAUAACGAGCGCAACCCUUGUCGUCAGUUGCCAGCGGGUGAUGCCGGGGACUCUGGCGAGACUGCCACCGCAAGGUGAGAGGAAGGGGGGGAUGACGUCAAAUCAGCACGGCCCUUACGUCCGGGGCGACACACGUGUUACAAUGGCGAGUACAGAGGGGUGCCACCCGGCGACGGGGCGCAGAUCUCGAAAACUCGUCUCAGUUCGGAUCGGAGUCUGCAACUCGACUCCGUGAAGUUGGAUUCGCUAGUAAUCGCGCAUCAGCCAUGGCGCGGUGAAUACGUUCCCGGGCCUUGUACACACCGCCCGUCAAGCCAUGAAAGCCGGGGGUGCUUGAAGUCCGUGACCGAAAGGAGCGGCCUAGGGCAAAACUGGUAAUUGGGGCUAAGUCGUAACAAGGUAGCCGUACCGGAAGGUGUGGCUGGAACACCUCCUAAUCUCACUCUC
Molecule: ribosomal RNA, 1532 nt
Filed under: uncultured rumen bacterium
Lineage: Bacteria
Description: bacterial SSU rRNA
Rfam family: Bacterial small subunit ribosomal RNA
Source: RNAcentral